AGUGAACGCUGGCGGUAGGCCUAACACAUGCAAGUCGAACGGCAGCACAGUAAGAGCUUGCUCUUACGGGUGGCGAGUGGCGGACGGGUGAGGAAUACAUCGGAAUCUACUUUUUCGUGGGGGAUAACGUAGGGAAACUUACGCUAAUACCGCAUUCGACCUACGGGUGAAAGCAGGGGAUCUUCGGACCUUGCGCGAUUGAAUGAGCCGAUGUCGGAUUAGCUAGUUGGCGGGGUAAAGGCCCACCAAGGCGACGAUCCGUAGCUGGUCUGAGAGGAUGAUCAGCCACACUGGAACUGAGACACGGUCCAGACUCCUACGGGAGGCAGCAGUGGGGAAUAUUGGACAAUGGGCGCAAGCCUGAUCCAGCCAUACCACGUGGGUGAAGAAGGCCUUCGGGUUGUAAAGCCCUUUUGUUGGGAAAGAAAAGCAGCAGGUUAAUACCCCGCUGUUCGGACGGUACCCAAAGAAUAAGCACCGGCGAACUUCGU
Molecule: ribosomal RNA, 491 nt
Filed under: uncultured bacterium
Lineage: Bacteria
Description: partial 16S ribosomal RNA
Rfam family: Bacterial small subunit ribosomal RNA
Source: RNAcentral